Molecule: ribosomal RNA, 504 nt
Filed under: uncultured bacterium
Lineage: Bacteria
Description: bacterial SSU rRNA
Rfam family: Bacterial small subunit ribosomal RNA
Source: RNAcentral
GAACGCUGGCGGCGUGCCUAACACAUGCAAGUCGAACGGACGUUACUCGCUGCAGAGACUCGGUCUAAAGCUGAGUAAGUAGUGGCGGACGGGUGAGUAACGCGUGGGCAACCUGCCUCAUACUGGGGGAGUAACAGUUGGAAACGACUCGUUAAUACCGCAUAAGCGCACAGUGUCGCAUGACACAGUGUGAAAAAACUCCGGUGGUAUGAGAUGGGCCCGCGUCAGAUUAGCUAGUUGGCGGGGUAACGGCCCACCAAGGCGACGAUCUGUAGCCGGACUGAGAGGUCGGACGGCCACAUUGGGACUGAGACACGGCCCAAACUCCUACGGGAGGCAGCAGUGGGGGAUAUUGCACAAUGGAGGAAACUCUGAUGCAGCGACGCCGCGUGAAGUGAAGAAGUAUUUCGGUAUGUAAAGCUCUAUCACCAGGGAAGAAAGGCUCGCAAGAGAGAUGACGGUACCUGACUAAGAAGCCCCGGCUAACUACGUGCCAGCAGCAGC